This 1218-nucleotide unclassified non-coding RNA is filed under the name Hevea brasiliensis (rubber tree). The record is from RNAcentral. Lineage: Eukaryota; Viridiplantae; Streptophyta; Magnoliopsida; Malpighiales; Euphorbiaceae.
AUUUUUUUGAAACAAAUUAAAAUAUCCAUUCAGUGCCUGGCAAGACAAGGGCACAUGAGAAAGCUGCACAAACAGUAAAGCUUACGUACAAGAAGUGACAUCACAAAUGGCGAUAAAUUUGUAGGACAUUGUUGAAAUCCGGACCACAUAAUAAACCAUAGGCAACAAGCCAUACAGUGACUCCUCAAAUAAUGGAUCCUAAAGUUUCAUUUCAUGAUUAAUAAUUAGCACACAUAUAGCCCUAUAAGAGGAGAUCCAUUCAGGAAAAGAUGAACAUAAUUCUAAACCAAAGAUGGAAGAUGAAGUUCCCAUCAUCAUCUCUUCUUCUAGAACCAAAAUAAUCAUGGUAUAAUGAGAUGCACCAAAAGGUUUGCUUCGCAGGAGAUAUGGCACCGUCGCGUCCAAAUUCAUCCCCAGGAACAAGGCAGGGCUGCGCUGGUAUCAUUUCUCCAGCGGAGGAAACCUUGCAAGUGCAAUAUACAUACAUGUAGAUUUAAAGAAGGAAUGUGGGAAUAAUUUUUUCAAGGUCAGUUUAGUUUGUUUCAUGUUGUUCUUGUUUACUACAAACUCUGCUGCUGUUUUCUGUUUUCCUUGUUCUUUUUCCAGGUAAGAUAUAUGGGCUUAUGGCAGAAGAAAAGGAAUCUUUCAAAUGCAUGAUUAGUCUUUCAAAGGUUAAUUGCUCUGGUAAGCAUGGGAUAAUCAAGCUGAGAAAAUUAGCACUGAAGUUUGCUGUCAUGAAUUAUGCAUGAGAGACUAGCUUCUAAAAUUCUAGUAUGUUUUCCUUGGUGAAGGUUUAUUUUAGAGGAGUACCUCAACUAGCCGAACUAAUCAGCCCUCGGCCUCCUGAAGUAGCCUGAAAAUCUCCCGAGACCAAUAAUAGAAUGUCAGCCUCUGGAUCGAACAAUACGUUUGACAACUUCUAGAUUCGAACCUGGGAUGUUUCGAACAGAGAUAGAACUAUUCUUUAGGUUGAGUGGUUUCUUAAUAUUGUAUCAAAGCCUCUUAAAUCAAAAAGUUCAGAGUUCGAAUUCUGACAAUCUCAUUUAUUAAUUGAGUAUUUUAGUGCAAUGUAAAGAGAGCAUAUGCUUGAAAUAAAGAUACAAAAUUAUUCUUAAAAUACUCACCUACAAACUUAAACUUUUAGAUUGAAUAGUUCCUUGACAAUUUCUAAUAGUAAAUACAGUGAAGGAAGACACCUUCUAAAGCUAAAGGUUUAAA